UUCAGACAGUUUAUCAGUGAUCACUCUUGGGGCUAGAUGAAGUGAUUUCCCAGCAUUUUUUGAGCACUGACCAGUUCCAAAUGUGAUUUAUUUACUACUACUC
Sinocyclocheilus rhinocerous is the source of this 103-nucleotide long non-coding RNA. RefSeq lists it as uncharacterized. NCBI's taxonomy places the organism in Eukaryota, Metazoa, Chordata, Actinopteri, Cypriniformes, Cyprinidae. The transcript is spliced from 3 exons. The record is from RefSeq and is a predicted model, not a curated record.